RNAcentral lists this ribosomal RNA (379 nucleotides) under uncultured eukaryote. RNAcentral describes it as "partial 18S ribosomal RNA". It matches the Rfam family "Eukaryotic small subunit ribosomal RNA", at positions 592 to 976 of the family's 1831-position model. The record is from RNAcentral.
CAAUAGCGUAUAUUAAAGUUGUUGCGGUAAAAAAGCUCGUAGUUGGAUUUCUGUUGAGAGCGACCGGUCCAUACCAUGUAUGCGUAUCUGGCUUGCUCUCGGCAUCCUCUCGAUAGACGUUACUGCGCUUGAUUGCGUGGUGCGGAUCUCGGGACCUUUACUUUGAGGAAAUUAGAGUGUUCACGGCAGGCUUUCGCCAGAAUACAUUAGCAUGGAAUAAUACUAUAGGAUCUUGGUUCUAUUUUGUUGGUUUCUAGAAUUGAGAUAAUGAUUAAUAGGGACGAUUGGGGGCAUUCGUAUCAACACGUCAGAGGUGGAAUUCUUGGAUUGUGUUGCGACGAACUACUGCGAAGGCAUUUGCCAAGGAUGUUUUCAUUGA